Lates calcarifer (barramundi perch) is the source of this 1437-nucleotide long non-coding RNA. RefSeq lists it as uncharacterized. NCBI's taxonomy places the organism in Eukaryota, Metazoa, Chordata, Actinopteri, Centropomidae. The transcript has 5 exons. The record is from RefSeq and is a predicted model, not a curated record.
GGCAGGCUGUCCAAAUAACUUCGAUGUCUACUCAUACAUCCAUGGAUAACAGUCGCAAAUGAAGGACUUUUACCUUCAAUCAGAGGCGGUUGCUAGGCGCACCAGAAUCUACCACUGUAGCUGACGUAUGUCGUCAUUGAUCGCGACGUGUCUCCUGAUUGGUCAUGACCAUCUGGGAGGAGCUCGGAGAGGCGGAAAACAGUUUUAAACCAAGUUUGAACUAUUGCUUCUGUUUGCUCGUACUGUAAGAAAACGUUGCAGGUGAAGUCUGGAUGCUGAAACAAACUCUGGGGCUGCUUUUUGUCAUUAAUGAAGAGGUCUGGAUGCUAAAACAAACUCUGGAGCUGAUUUUUUGUCGAACAGGAGUGUGCCUGGACGCUGAACACACGUGCGGCGCGAAGGUUUACUCGUUCAGCUGCUGCAGCCUGGACAGAAACACCAGCUCUCACCUUACAAACCAAAUGUGUCACCACUUCAUCCACGAUCACAAUGAAGAAGUUCUUUGAAACCAGGGCUGAGGCCUCCAGGAUUCAAACUUCAACAAUUAAAUAAAUCAGAGAGAAGAGACACAGACAUGAAGACAUUUCCAGAAGGUCUUCAGCUGCUGUCGUCUUCUCCUCCUGCAGAGACGAGAACACGUGUUAAUCACAGAAACUGAUGAGUAGAUCUGUUUUCCCUUUCCUAAACUGACCUUAUUCAUUGUUGAUACCUAAUUACAGUGAUUUAAACUAAACUUUGUACAACUCGUUCAGUAUCACAUUCAGUAUUUUAGUGUGUUUCUAAUUAUUACAGUCACAGCAGUGACUAGAAAGAGAUAAACAUGAACCAUGUAAUAAAUACAGGAAAACAAUUUAUACUGUACUGUUACUAAAAUUAUGUUAUUUUGCUAAAAUUAUUUAAUAAAUAUUUUUCAUGACAUGCUAUUGCAUAACAUAACAUCCUGUGGCAUCUUUUAGUGGCCUUUUUAAUGACUUUUGAAUGAUGAAUGAAUUUUUUGAUGCCAUACUACACUAUGACAUUUGGCUUAAUACAAAGGAACUAUCUUAAAGCUGCAAUCUUACCUUUGUUCUCCACAGACACACACAUAUUCACACACGCACAAUGUUUGUGGGUUAAGAUUUUAUGUUUGUCAUUUCAUUUAGAUAUUUUGCUAUUUCAAACAGUGCAAUGUCAGUACUCAAAUCUAAUCUAUAACUGUGUACACAGUCCUUUUUAUACUGUUCAUAUUGUUAUAUAUAUAUCUUGCCUUGUUUAUAUCAUGCCUUUUUUAUAUUUUUGCUGCUGUAACACUUAAUUCCCUUGGUGUGGGACUAAGGAUUAUCUUUUUCUUAUUCAAAUAAAUACAUCUGAACACUGAAUAUUUUGUCUGUCUGUUUAAUGUUGUAUGAAAGUGAAUAUUUUCGCUACUUGUAGCAAGAGGUUAGGGUUACGGAAUUU